ACCAAGAAAGAACUAUAUUUAUCGAGCUAGAUUAAUCGUCAGUAAAGUGUAGUACUUGCGGAAAAAAUAGAAAAAAUUGAAAGAAUAGGAAGCAUGGAUUUUUAAUCUAUUUUAAUCCAAAAUUUACUUAUUUAGCUAUAGGACAUAGCUUAUGUGUGUACGACUAAAAUCGAAUUAGACAUCAUCAAAUUAAUGCUAAAAAUAAAGCACCUAUGGAAAUUUAAAUCACAGCAGAACAGCUAUUAAGAGAAGCAAAGAAGAGAGAGAGAAGGAAAGGGAAAGACAAGGAGAAAGAUCAAGAAAUUUUAUCUCUUCCACCUGAACAAAAUAUCUUUAAUGAUAUAAUGAUUACAUGCGUUUGAAAGAUGAUAUAUCUCUAAAUAUUUUUAGAAAGAUUAUGAUAUAUUCGUUUAUUUCUUUAAAAGUUAUUAUAUCUUGAAAAUAAGUGAAAAUGACUGAAAAAGAAGAAAUUCGACAUAUUUUGAAAUUUUAUUACAAAAAAAGAAAAGAUGCCACUUAGGCUGCUAAACAAAUUUGUGAUGUUAUGGAUUUGAUGAAGUAUCAGUAUGUCUGGUACAAAGCUAGUUCAAGCGUUUCAAUCUGAAAAUUUUGAUAUAAGUGAUACAUUUCAUUUUGGUUUGCCAAUGAUUGAAAGAGUCGAUGAAAUCAGAAAAAAUUAUGCAAAACUGGCACAUUAAGAGUUAUAAUGUCUAAAAAGAACUCAUCAUAUAAUUUAACAACGAAAAAUUUAAUGGAUCAAAUCUUUAUCUAUGUUUAAACAGAAUGAAAUCAAAUCAUUUUGAAAUAGUUUAUUAUAGUUGAUGACAAAUGGAUCAUGUACAUUAAUAAUAUAUGGAAAAGAUUGUGGUUAAAGGAAAAUGAAGCUGCACAAAUGGUGGCAAAGUCAGGAUUGGCGACGUUAAGUGUCUGUGGUGAGAUCAUAAAGGAAUUGUUCACUAUGAGCUACUACUCUAUUGAGAUAAAACAAUCAGAAUGGAUCAAUAGUAAAGGUGUUAGCUUUUAUUAUGACAAUGCCACACUCUACACAUCAUAGAUGGUCCAUCAAAGACAGAGAAUUUGGCUACAAAGUUAUAAUACAUCCAUUAUAUAGUCCUGACAUUGCACCGUUAGAGUACCAUUUGUUUCAAUCUUUACAGAAUUCUCUUAACAGUGUAAAGUUGGCUGCAAAAGAGGCAUGUGAAAAUCAUUUGAUAAAGUUUUUCAUCCAGAAAAACAUAGAAAUUCUACAAUGAUGGGAUUAUAAUUUUACCUCAAAAAUGGUAAAAAAUGAUGAAUCAAAAGGGCACAUAUCUGGUGUAAUACACUUCAUUUGAAAUAUAAAAACCUAUUAGUUAUAACUAACUGUAUAAAAUAUGCUCACAAGAUCACAAGAAACAAAUUGAGAUAUCAAGCUACUUUGAAUAGAACAAAUUUUUAAUUUUGUAGUAUUAUGAUAGAUUGCGAUUGAAUCCUGGGAUGUUUUACUGCAGCAAAGAUGUUUUACUGUUGCGGUCGUACCAGGAUAUUCUUGGUACAAGUAUGUUAUGGUUAUUUAGGCAGGGAACUUAACACUGCUUAUCUUACUGUACUUUUCGCUCAUCUAUAAACAUUUUGUUUUAUCUGAAGGAAAAGUCAUUCUUUCCAUACAAGCAAUGGAUUUAUUAUUGACAUUUAUUACCUUUUAUUUUUUUAAUAUUUAUCGUUAUUCAUCUUAUUUUUUAUAUUUCUAAAAGCUAUAUUCUCAAAUGUCUAAAAGAAGAUGUGAGUCUAACAAUUAUAAGGAUGUGCAAAGAAAUAGUGAUGAAUUUUAUAUAGAUUAUCAUGACAAGUCGAAUGAUUAUAUUAAUGAUGAUGAUUUCAAUGAUAACUUGGAUGAUAAUAAUGAUAUUAUAGUGCCUAGAAGAAAAUGUAUAGUGCAAUUACAUUCAAGUGGCAAUGACAUUGAAGUAACAUUAGAAAAUAGUAUUCCAAGUAUAUGGCAAGAUGUUAUACAUGAAAAUGUUCAAUUACUAAAAAUAGAAUUUUUAGUAGGAUCAAGAAGUCCCAGUGCACACAUUCCUGCAACAUACACAGACCCAAUUGAUUUUUUUCAUCAGGUUUUUUUACUGAUGAGUUGCUUCAAGAUAUUAUAAAAGAAACGAAUUAAUAUGCCAGGAUAUUGCAGUGUUAUCAUGUCGUUCGAUAUGGAAUAGUUGUAUAGAUGUGACAGUGACAGAAAUAAUAGCAUUUAUACUCAACAUGGGUAUUGUAAAAUUACCAGAUGAGGAAGAGUAGUCAUUGCAUCAAUAUAAUUCGAAAAUACUAUUUUUUUUGGACAUAUUUUGGAGAGUAAGAUUUUUCCAAAUUUAUUGGAUGUUAUAUUUAAAUACAAAUACUUCAAAUGAUAGAAUAAGAAUUUAAAAAGCUAGUGACUUAAAUUAUACUGAAGCUACAUUCGAAGACUAUUUUGUUUCAAAUAAAGAAAUUUCAAUCGAUGAAUCUGUCAUAAAAUUCAAAGGAAGAAUUAGUUUUGUUACUUAUAACGUAACAUACAUAAUAUACAUUAACACUAAGAAAUCAACGAAAUGGGAAAUUUGUAUUUAUAUAUUGGCAGAUUCUGAUACCAGAUACAUUCAUUUUAUUCAUACUAUGGAAGUUCUACUACAGAAUCAUUGAUACAUUCCAAUUUCCCAGUAACUACCACAAGAAUUGUAUUACAUCUGUAUAUAAAAUUAUUACAUUCUAAUCCUGAUGCUCGAAAUUAUAUUUAUACUGAUAGAUUUUAUGCAAGUAUAACAUUGGCCCAUGAAUUAUUAAAAUUGAAAUAUUAUGCUAUUGGAAUAAUAAACUAAAAUCAAAUGUACAUAGUCUACAUAAAACAAAAUCUUACAUUGAUCAAGCAUGAAUGUUUUUGGCUGUCGAUUUGGAGAAACAUUCAUACUAUUAUAGAAAGAUAAAAGAAUUGUAAUAAAUAAUUGCCGAAUAUAAUAUAUAUAUGGAUGGCGUCGACCGAGUCGAGUAAUAUAGAGAGAUAAAAGAAUUAUAAUAAAUAAUUGCCGAAUAUAAUAUAUAUAUGGAUGGCGUCGACCGAGUCGAGUAAUAUACAUUUUAUCCGUUUUCAUGAAGUCUCUAAAAUGGUUAAAAAAAAAUUAUUCUUUUUAGAUUUAAAAAUUUAUUCUGCGAAUAGCUAUAUAUUAUAUAAUAAUAAGAAGGCAAAACACCCAUAUGACAUCUAAAAUUUAUUAGAAAAUUGAUAGAUCAAUUGGUGGGUAAUUGAGAUUUGUGAUGGAUCUCAGACUUCGCAUGGUAGACUAUCAAUCUCGGAUAAAGAAGAGCGAUUAAACAGAAAAUUACAUAUUCUACAACAAAAUCAAGGAAAUUUGAGCAAGGAGUAUUUUGUUUGUUCUGAUAAGAAAAAAGAUCAAAAACGAGAAUCCCGAUACCACUAUGAAACAUGUACAAGAAAACUGUGAUUGCUCAUUUGGGAUUACUUUGAUAUAUAUCAUAUCAAAGAAAAUUUCUAUAAAAUAUUGAAUAUCGAAAUAAUAAAUAAUAUACACACAGUUUAAACACAUCCUUUUGAAUAAGAUUUAUACAUCUUUUAGAUAAUAAUUGAAUAAGAUACGAUUACUAUGCUUACAAAAAAUACAAUCGCAAAGAGUCAAAAACAUUUCAGAGUUUUAUAUGUAAUUUCUUUCAUAUCUAUAUAUGUAAGUAUCUUAUAUAUCGAUUAUAAAAAUAUUAGAUUAUGACCGAAAUAUAUUAAAAUGGGAAUGCUAAAUUGGCAAGUAAAUUAUACUAGAAAUUUAUGGAAUCAUGCAAUUACAAUUUACCUAAAAAAAAGCAAAUCAAUUUUGAUACAAGUAUACAUAUAUAGGGGAAAUGUUAGAAAAUAUUACUGGAGCGUGCCAUAUUUUGAGCAUUGAAUGGAUUGAAAACCUGAUGAGCAAAUAUAUUAAAUUUGAUUUACUAUAUAAACAAAUAUGAAGAGAAAGGAAGAUAUAUGAACGUAUUUGGAUAAAAAUGAUGGAUAAGAAGAAAUAUUCUACUUUGUAUUUUUAUAAGACGAAUCUCAAACACUAAAUCUCAAAUUGUUGAUAUUUAUAAAAACAUAGGAUAAAGAAAAAAAUUUAUAGUAAAACUGUUCAAAAUGGAAAUAAAUAAUUGAAAUCGAACAAUCACAAAUAAUUUAUAUAUCUUACAUAUUAUAUUUAUAUUUAAAAAAUGUAAAAUGUAAUAUAGAUAUUGUGUACAAUUUUAUAUUUAUCUUGAUUCAUCUGUAGAAUGCGAAAGAUGUAAAAAUUAUGCUGUCUGAUAUUUUUUUAAUGUAAAAAUAGUUUAUAUUUCGGAAAUAAAAAACAAUGUUGUAUAAUA
Molecule: long non-coding RNA, 4353 nt
Organism: Vespula vulgaris
Lineage: Eukaryota; Metazoa; Arthropoda; Insecta; Hymenoptera; Vespidae
Exons: 5
Source: RefSeq, a predicted model, not a curated record